CCAGGUGACGCUGUACCAGUGUGUUUUCAUUUCCAUUUGUUUCCAUGAAAAAUUAUUAUUUCUUCUUUGAUUUUUUGCUUGACCCAUUCAUUGUUUAAGAAUAUGUUAUUUAACCUCUAUGUAUUUGUGCUCUUUCUAGAUUUUUCCUUGUGGUUGAUUUUUAGUUUUAUAGCUUUGUGGUCAGAAAAGUUGCAUAGUAUGACUUUGACCCUUUGAAUUUAUCCAGUCUUGUUUUGUGGCCUAAUAUGUGAUCUAUUCUUGGAGAAUGUUCCUUGUGUACUUGAAAAGAAUGUGCAUUCUGUUGUUUUAGAAUGGGAUGUUCUGAAUAGAUCCGUGUUAGAGCCUUGUGGUCCAGUGUGUCAUUCAAAACUACAAGUUCCUUGUUGGUUUUUGAUUUUCUGUUUGGAUGAUCUAUCCACCAAGAUAGCUUGCACAAAAGCAGGCAGAGGGACAGAGAUAGAGAAAUCCUCAAGCGGACACCCCUCUGAUCAUGGAACUUGACACAGGGCUCAACCCCAGGACUCCCAUAUCAUGACCCAAGCUGAAAUCAGGAGUCAAUGUUCAAUCCAACUAAGCUACCCAGGCACCUCUCAAUACUUUCAUAUUACUCAGUGCUCAUCAAGGUAAGUGUACUUACCUUUCCUCCAGCACCCACCUGUUCUCUC
Molecule: long non-coding RNA, 665 nt
Filed under: Mustela putorius furo (domestic ferret)
Lineage: Eukaryota; Metazoa; Chordata; Mammalia; Carnivora; Mustelidae
Description: lncRNA (ENSMPUG00000027322.1)
Source: RNAcentral